RNAcentral lists this ribosomal RNA (460 nucleotides) under uncultured bacterium. Its description in RNAcentral is "partial 16S ribosomal RNA". It matches the Rfam family "Bacterial small subunit ribosomal RNA", at positions 338 to 795 of the family's 1533-position model. The record is from RNAcentral.
CCUACGGGAGGCAGCAGUGAGGAAUAUUGGUCAAUGGACGAGAGUCUGAACCAGCCAAGUAGCGUGAAGGAUGACUGCCCUCUGGGUUGUAAACUUCUUUUAUAUGGGAAUAAAACGUUCCACGUGUGGGAUUUUGUAUGUACCAUAUGAAUAAGGAUCGGCUAACUCCGUGCCAGCAGCCGCGGUAAUACGGAGGGUCCGAGCGUUAUCCGGAUUUAUUGGGUUUAAAGGGAGCGUAGGUGGAUUGUUAAGUCAGUUGUGAAAGUUUGCGGCUCAACCGUAAAAUUGCAGUUGAAACUGGCAGUCUUGAGUACAGUAGAGGUGGGCGGAAUUCGUGGUGUAGCGGUGAAAUGCUUAGAUAUCACGAAGAACUCCGAUUGCGAAGGCAGUUCACUGGACUGCAACUGACACUGAGGCUCGAAAGUGUGGGUAUCAAACAGGAUUAGAUACCCGUGUAGUC